RNAcentral lists this ribosomal RNA (359 nucleotides) under uncultured bacterium. Its description in RNAcentral is "bacterial SSU rRNA". It matches the Rfam family "Bacterial small subunit ribosomal RNA", at positions 29 to 412 of the family's 1533-position model. The record is from RNAcentral.
AACGAACGCUGGCGGCAGGCCUAACACAUGCAAGUCGAGCGCCCAGCAAUGGGAGCGGCGGACGGGUGAAUAACACGUGGGAAUAUGCCUUUCGGUACGGAAUAACGCAGGGAAACUUGCGCUAAUACCGUAUACGCCCUCAGGGGAAGGAUUAUCGCCGAAAGAUUAGCCCGCGUAGGAUUAGCUAGUUGGUGAGGUAACGGCCCACCAAGGCUACGAUCCUUAGCUGGUUUGAGAGAACGAUCAGCCACACUGGGACGUGAGACACGGCCCGAGACUCCUACGGGAGGGCAGCAGUGGGGGAAGUCUUGGACAAUAGGAGGGAAACUCUGAUCCAGCCAUGCCGCGUGAGUGAUGAA